ACGGGUGAGUAACGCGUGGGAAUCUACCCAUCUCUACGGAAUAACGCAUGGAAACGUGUGCUAAUACCGUAUACGCCCUUCGGGAGAAAGAUUUAUCGGAGAUGGAUGAGCCCGCGUUGGAUUAGCUAGUUGGUGGGGUAAAGGCCUACCAAGGCGACGAUCCAUAGCUGGUCUGAGAGGAUGAUCAGCCACACUGGGACUGAGACACGGCCCAGACUCCUACGGGAGGCAGCAGUGGGGAAUAUUGGACAAUGGGCGCAAGCCUGAUCCAGCCAUGCCGCGUGAGUGAUGAAGGCCCUAGGGUUGUAAAGCUCUUUCACCGGUGAAGAUAAUGACGGUAACCGGAGAAGAAGCCCCGGCUAACUUCGUGCCAGCAGCCGCGGUAAUACGAAGGGGGCUAGCGUUGUUCGGAUUUACUGGGCGUAAAGCGCACGUAGGCGGACUAUUAAGUCAGGGGUGAAAUCCCGGGGCUCAACCCCGGAACUGCCUUUGAUACUGGUAGUCUUGAGUUCGAGAGAGGUGAGUGGAAUUCCGAGUGUAGAGGUGAAAUUCGUAGA
Molecule: ribosomal RNA, 557 nt
Filed under: uncultured bacterium
Lineage: Bacteria
Description: bacterial SSU rRNA
Rfam family: Bacterial small subunit ribosomal RNA
Source: RNAcentral